AUUGAACGCUGGCGGCAUGCCUUACACAUGCAAGUCGAACGGCAGCACGGGGGCAACCCUGGUGGCGAGUGGCGAACGGGUGAGUAAUGCAUCGGAACGUGCCCAGUAGUGGGGGAUAACUAGUCGAAAGAUUAGCUAAUACCGCAUACGACCUACGGGUGAAAGCGGGGGAUUCGCAAGAACCUCGCGCUAUCGGAGCGGCCGAUGUCUGAUUAGCUAGUUGGCGGGGAAAAGCCCACCAAGGCUUCGAUCAGUAGCUGGUCUGAGAGGACGACCAGCCACACUGGGACUGAGACACGGCCCAGACUCCUACGGGAGGCAGCAGUGGGGAAUUUUGGACAAUGGGCGCAAGCCUGAUCCAGCCAUGCCGCGUGCGGGAAGAAGG
RNAcentral lists this ribosomal RNA (385 nucleotides) under uncultured bacterium. RNAcentral describes it as "bacterial SSU rRNA". It matches the Rfam family "Bacterial small subunit ribosomal RNA", at positions 29 to 414 of the family's 1533-position model. The record is from RNAcentral.